UGGCGGAGGCCUACACAUGCAAGUCGAGGGGGAAGCUAUCUUCGGAUAGUGGAGACCGGCGCACGGGUGAGUAACGCGUGGGAACCUACCCUGGGGUGGGGGAUAACCACUGGAAACGGUGGCUAAUACCGCAUACGCCUUGAGAGGGAAAGAUUUAUCGCCCUGGAACGGGCCCGCGUUGGAUUAGCUUGUUGGUGAGGUAAAGGCUCACCAAGGCGACGAUCUAUAGCUGGUCUGAGAGGAUGAUCAGCCACACUGGGACUGAGACACGGCCCAGACUCCUACGGGAGGCAGCAGUGGGGAAUAUUGGACAAUGGGGGCAACCCUGAUCCAGCCAUGCCGCGUGCGUGAAGAAGGCCUUAGGGUUGUAAAGCGCUUUCACCGGUGAAGAUGAUGACGGUAGCCGGAGAAGAAGCCCCGGCUAACUCCGUGCCAGCAGCCGCGGUAAUACGGAGGGGGCAAGCGUUGUUCGGAAUGACUGGGCGUAAAGGGCGCGUAGGCGGAUGUGUAAGUUGGGGGUGAAAGGCCUGGGCUCAACCUGGGAAUUGCCUCCAAAACUACACGUCUUGAGUUCGGAAGAGGAUGGCGGAAUUCCCAGUGUAGAGGUGAAAUUCGUAGAUAUUGGGAAGAACACCGGUGGCGAAGGCGGCCAUCUGGUCCGAUACUGACGCUGAGGCGCGAAAGCGUGGGGAGCAAACAGGAUUAGAUACCC
Molecule: ribosomal RNA, 712 nt
Filed under: uncultured Alphaproteobacteria bacterium
Lineage: Bacteria; Pseudomonadati; Pseudomonadota; Alphaproteobacteria
Description: bacterial SSU rRNA
Rfam family: Bacterial small subunit ribosomal RNA
Source: RNAcentral